RNAcentral lists this transfer RNA (75 nucleotides) under Candidatus Bathyarchaeota archaeon. Its description in RNAcentral is "tRNA-Met". It matches the Rfam family "tRNA". From Rfam's summary of the family: Transfer RNA (tRNA) molecules are approximately 80 nucleotides in length. Their secondary structure includes four short double-helical elements and three loops (D, anti-codon, and T loops). RNAcentral also lists the same sequence under 1 other name. Lineage: Archaea; Thermoproteati; Candidatus Bathyarchaeota. The record is from RNAcentral.
GCCGGGGUGGCUCAGCUGUGGUCAGGCGCUGGACUCAUAAUCCAGAGGCCGCGGGUUCGACUCCCGCCCCCGGCA